UACGAAGGGGGCUAGCGUUGUUCGGAAUUACUGGGCGUAAAGCGUGCGCAGGCGGCUUCUCAAGUCAGGGGUGAAAGCCCAGAGCUCAACUCUGGAAUUGCCUUUGAGACUGAGUGGCUUGAGUACGAGAGAGGUGAGUGGAAUUCCCAGUGUAGAGGUGAAAUUCGUAGAUAUUGGGAAGAACACCGGUGGCGAAGGCGGCUCACUGGCUCGUAACUGACGCUCAUGCACGACAGCGUGGGGAUCAAACGGG
Molecule: ribosomal RNA, 253 nt
Filed under: uncultured bacterium
Lineage: Bacteria
Description: partial 16S ribosomal RNA
Rfam family: Bacterial small subunit ribosomal RNA
Source: RNAcentral